RNAcentral lists this ribosomal RNA (433 nucleotides) under uncultured bacterium. RNAcentral describes it as "bacterial SSU rRNA". It matches the Rfam family "Bacterial small subunit ribosomal RNA", at positions 355 to 787 of the family's 1533-position model. The record is from RNAcentral.
UGGGGAAUCUUGCGCAAUGGCCGAAAGGCUGACGCAGCGACGCCGCGUGUGGGAGGACGCCUUUCGGGGUGUAAACCACUGUUGCCCGGGACGAACAGCUUCUUUCGAGGAGCCUGACGGUACCGGGUGAGGAAGCACCGGCUAACUCCGUGCCAGCAGCCGCGGUAAUACGGAGGGUGCGAGCGUUGUCCGGAAUCAUUGGGCGUAAAGGGCGCGUAGGUGGCCUGGUCAGUUCGUGGUGAAAGCGCGGGGCUCAACCCCGCGUCGGCCAUGAAUACUGCUGGGCUGGAGCACUGUAGAGGCAGGUGGAAUUCCGGGUGUAGCGGUGGAAUGCGUAGAGAUCCGGAAGAACACCGGUGGCGAAGGCGGCCUGCUGGGCAGUGGCUGACACUGAGGCGCGACAGCGUGGGGGAGCAAACAGGAUUAGAUACCC